Molecule: ribosomal RNA, 595 nt
Filed under: uncultured Anaplasmataceae bacterium
Lineage: Bacteria; Pseudomonadati; Pseudomonadota; Alphaproteobacteria; Rickettsiales; Anaplasmataceae
Description: bacterial SSU rRNA
Rfam family: Bacterial small subunit ribosomal RNA
Source: RNAcentral
CCUGGUAGUAGGGAAUAGCCAGUGGAAACAUUGGGUAAAACCCUAUAAGCCCUGAGGGGGAAAAAUUUAUUGCUAUCAGAUGGGCCCGCGUUGGAUUAGCUUGUUGGCGAGGUAAUGGCUCACCAAGGCUACGAUCCAUAGCUGGUUUGAGAGGAUGAUCAGCCACACUGGAACUGAGACACGGUCCAGACUUCUACGGAAGGCAGCAGUGGGGAAUAUUGGACAAUGGGCGAAAGCCUGAUCCAGCCAUACCGCAUGAGGGAUGAAGGCUCUUGAGUUGUAAACCUCUUUCAGUGGGGAAGAUUAUGACGGUACCCACAGAAGAAGUCCCGGCUAACUCCGUGCCAGCAGCCGCGGUAAUACGGAGGGGGCUAGCGUUGUUCGGAAUCACUGGGCGUAAAGGGUGUGUAGGCGGCCCUUCAAGUCAGUUGUGAAAGCCUUGGGCUUAACCCAAGAACUGCAAUUGAAACUGGAGGGCUUGAAUAUGAGAGAGGGUGAUGGAAUUUUUGGUGUAGGGGUGAAAUCCGUAGAUAUCAAGAGGAACGUCAGGGGCGAAAGCGGUCACCUAGAUCAUUAUUGACGCUGAGGCACGAAA